GGCAAGCUGGGCAUGCUAACUGGCACCGACUAGGCCUACGGCCCCAGCAGGAGGAGCCCGCGCUAGGCGACCCCCUGCGCUGCCAGCUGCGGCCGGGCGGAGACCGCGCCUCGGCGCAGGGUGGCUCUGCCAGUCCCUGGGCGCCUGGGCGGCCGCACACGUGUCCAAGCGUCACGUCCGCGCGCGCCCCCGGGGCUUGCGUCAGCUGCCGCUCCAGAGCCGGAGCUCUGCGCACUGCUCGGGUUCCGGGCCCCGGACGCCGCCAGAAGAGGGUGCCGCGCGGAGUCCGGGGGCGCAGAGAGAUCCUCCGAACGCGGGGGGCUGAAGGUAACGCCAGCGCGGUCCAGCCUUCCCCCACGGGACGCCGACGGUCUCCGAUCUCCCGUUCGGGACUGGGCGCCGUGGCGUUGCUCUGGAGCCCGCCGCCCGCGGGGCGCGCACCGCCUUAACCUCGGCGCCCCCGCGGCAGGCAGGCGCCCGCAGUUCCAUGGUUGGCUCGGAGCGCAAUGAGCCGCCCGUCCUCCACCGGCCCCAGCGCUAACAAACCUUGCAGCAAGCAGCCGCCGCCGCAGUCCCAGCACGCUCCGUCCCCGGCUGCGCCCCCAGCCGCCGCCACCAUCUCGGCUGCGGGCCCCGGCUCGUCCGCGGUGCCCGCCGCGGCGGCGGUGAUCUCGGGCCCCGGCGGUGGUGGCGGGGCCGGCCCGGUGUCCCCGCAGCACCACGAGCUGACUUCGCUCUUCGAGUGCCCGGUCUGCUUUGACUAUGUCCUGCCACCCAUCCUGCAGUGCCAGGCCGGGCACCUGGUGUGCAACCAAUGCCGCCAGAAGUUGAGCUGCUGCCCGACGUGCAGGGGUGCCCUGACGCCCAGCAUCAGGAACCUGGCUAUGGAGAAGGUGGCCUCGGCUGUCCUGUUCCCCUGCAAGUAUGCCACCACGGGCUGUUCACUGACUCUGCACCACACGGAGAAGCCAGAACACGAAGACAUCUGUGAAUACCGUCCCUACUCCUGCCCUUGUCCUGGUGCUUCCUGCAAGUGGCAGGGGUCCCUGGAAGCCGUGAUGUCCCAUCUCAUGCACGCCCACAAGAGCAUCACCACCCUUCAGGGAGAAGACAUCGUCUUUCUGGCUACAGACAUUAAUCUGCCCGGGGCCGUUGACUGGGUGAUGAUGCAGUCGUGUUUUGGCCAUCACUUCAUGCUGGUGCUGGAGAAGCAAGAGAAGUACGAAGGCCACCAGCAGUUCUUCGCCAUCGUGCUGCUCAUCGGCACCCGCAAGCAAGCCGAGAACUUUGCCUACAGACUGGAGUUAAACGGGAACCGGCGGAGACUGACCUGGGAGGCCACGCCGAGGUCCAUUCACGACGGGGUGGCCGCAGCCAUCAUGAACAGUGACUGCCUUGUUUUUGACACAGCCAUAGCACAUCUUUUUGCAGAUAAUGGGAACCUUGGAAUCAAUGUGACUAUUUCUACAUGCUGUCCAUGAUGCAUCAUGUGGAGUUCAUAAACUGUUGAAAUCAUUUGGGCAUAGUGCUCUAUGUUUAUUAAAGGUUUUUAUAGAUGUUUUAUUCAGUAUGCCUUCACAAGUCAGGAUCCACAGUUUCCCCAUGUUUUGUUUAAAUGGCAGCUCCCCGUCUCACACCCACAACUGAAUUGGCCUUGACCCAACAAAGUUUAUUAAACUGGGAUGAAUGGCCUGUUAGCAAUUUGGAGGCUGUUCUGGGAUCUGAAAUAAACUUCAUUAAAUUUUAUUUACUUCCUGAACAAGACUUGAAGGGUUGCUUUGAGGCUCCUGCAGACCAUUAUGUUGAAAUGUGAGGCUCCUUCCCACCUGCCUUCCCAUACUGAUCCCUCAACGUUGACAAAAGCACAGCGACUGUCAAUAGAUUCCUUGGCUUUACUGUUUUUACAGGGUAGGGAUUGUUUUCAUGCAUUUAAAACAAUGUUUCUCAAAUUGGACGACUGACCAGCGUGCAUAGAAUCACCUGGAGUGCUAAUCAUAAAAAGGCAGAUUCGGGGCAUCUGUGAACUUAACAGUCUCAUCAGGCGAUUCUUUUCCACCUUAAGGUUUGAGAAUUACCAGGUUAAAUUUGUGGAAGUUUCCAGAUUUUAAAGAGUCAGAAGAAAGAGGCUCAGCUGGUGCUAAUAGCCAGAGGACUAGAUUUGCUCCAAGAUGACCCACUCCCCCAGCCCCAAUCCAAGACUCAAGAGUUAAUUCAGAUAGCACAGGUGCUCAGUGAGGACUGAAAGCUGCUUACCAUCAGUGGCCUGAUGCCAUUAGAGUUGCACCAAGAGGGAAUGACAGCUUUAGAGUUCACUUUGAUUUUGUUUUUUUUUUUAAGUAAGAUUCAGUGGCAAGUUCUUAGCCAGCCUAGAGUUCUGGCAGUUAAAGAAUUGCUAAAAUAACCAAGCUUCUAGACUAUUCUUCAAAUGAAUAGUCCUGAACAAAAGUAGGUGCUUACAAUAUCUUUAGUGAAUGACUGAAAAUUGCAACUCUCAUCAACUUAAUGACCAUGAAAAUCUACAUUUCAAGCCUGUGCAGAGUGGGAUCCAUGGAGGUGGGACAAGGUUCCACAAGCAGGUAGACUUUGACGCUCUUGGUGGCAGAGCUGGUCCAGAUACAGCUGCCCAGUGCAUGCACGGUGCCCUGGCAGCGCGUUCCGAGCAUAAACUAGCCAGCUUGUCGACAUAACUUCUUAGCCAUCCAUGUCUUACCUGUGAUGGAGGAAAUCAGGCAAGAUUCGUCUACAGCAUAAAACUGAAAUGUACCAAACAGAAGACCCCGAAGAUGGAGAUAAUGGAAUCAAGUUAUUCCAAAACCAUGGACUUUCAGAUCUUCAGCCCAAAAAGGUAAAACAAGUGAUGUGACCUGUCAGAGGAUCAGUAGGUAUAAAGAAAAAUGUGGGAACUUUGGAGAUAAACAGAUCAGGACUCAGACCCUGGCUCUUCCACUUCCUAACAGUAAAGCUCUAGGCAAGUCACUAACCUCACUGUGCCUCGGUGGUAGUUAGAAGUUGUAUGUACCCCAGAAAAGCUCAUGUUCUUUUAAUCCAUCCCUGUGGGUAUAGACCUAUUGUAGGUGGGACCAUCUGAUUAGGUUAUUUCAAUUGAGAUGUGACCCACACCAUGCA
Molecule: RNA transcript, 3126 nt
Organism: Choloepus didactylus (southern two-toed sloth)
Lineage: Eukaryota; Metazoa; Chordata; Mammalia; Pilosa; Megalonychidae
Gene: SIAH2
Gene name: siah E3 ubiquitin protein ligase 2
Exons: 4
Source: RefSeq, a predicted model, not a curated record